UGCAAGGAUUCAGAGAAAGUGGAACCCUCUUGCACUGUUGGUGCGAAUGCAAAAUGGUGCAGCCACCCUGGAAAACGGUAUGGAGGUGCCUCAGAAAGUUAAAGGCAGAAAUAUCCUACGAUCUAGCAACCGCACUACUAGGUGUUUAUCUGAAGAA
Long non-coding RNA from Herpailurus yagouaroundi (jaguarundi), 157 nucleotides. RefSeq lists it as uncharacterized. The record is from RefSeq and is a predicted model, not a curated record. Lineage: Eukaryota; Metazoa; Chordata; Mammalia; Carnivora; Felidae. The transcript is spliced from 3 exons.